UGGGGAAUAUUGGACAAUGGGCGAAAGCCUGAUCCAGCCAUGCCGCGUGUGUGAAGAAGGUCUUCGGAUUGUAAAGCACUUUAAGUUGGGAGGAAGGGCAGUUACCUAAUACGUGAUUGCUUUGACGUUACCGACAGAAUAAGCACCGGCUAACUCUGUGCCAGCAGCCGCGGUAAUACAGAGGGUGCAAGCGUUAAUCGGAAUUACUGGGCGUAAAGCGCGCGUAGGUGGUUAGUUAAGUUGGAUGUGAAAUCCCCGGGCUCAACCUGGGAACUGCAUUCAAAACUGACUGACUAGAGUAUGGUAGAGGGUGGUGGAAUUUCCUGUGUAGCGGUGAAAUGCGUAGAUAUAGGAAGGAACACCAGUGGCGAAGGCGACCACCUGGACUGAUACUGACACUGAGGUGCGAAAGCGUGGGGAGCAAACAGGAUUAGAUACCCCUGUAGUCCCUGAGCGGGCUGGCAAGGCGCAU
Molecule: ribosomal RNA, 472 nt
Filed under: uncultured bacterium
Lineage: Bacteria
Description: bacterial SSU rRNA
Rfam family: Bacterial small subunit ribosomal RNA
Source: RNAcentral